RNAcentral lists this long non-coding RNA (289 nucleotides) under Homo sapiens (human). RNAcentral's name for it is "HSALNT0004046". Lineage: Eukaryota; Metazoa; Chordata; Mammalia; Primates; Hominidae. The record is from RNAcentral.
UGGACUCGAGGCCCAGUGGGGAGGGGCAGCCACCACGCUGUGACUGCAAUGCAUCCACACAUGCUGAGGCCACCAAGAAGAAAUAGGGGAGGAGGCUGGCCCUCGUCCAAGAUGGCAUCUUGGAGCUGCUGGACCUUCAGGAGCGGCCACUACCAGAUGCCCCUUUAGGACCAAGGAAUUUUGAAGGUACUUCCAGCUCUAAACCUUUAGGAUUCUAGGCCCCUCCCUACCUCCCUUCCCAGGCAAAGCCAUCACUCCCCAGGGGGAAAGAGAAUGACUCAGACAGAAC